This 380-nucleotide ribosomal RNA is filed under the name uncultured bacterium. RNAcentral describes it as "bacterial SSU rRNA". It matches the Rfam family "Bacterial small subunit ribosomal RNA", at positions 29 to 400 of the family's 1533-position model. The record is from RNAcentral.
AACGAACGCUGGCGGCGCGCCUAAUACAUGCAAGUCGAGCGAGAAGACGUAGCAAUACGUUUGUAAAGCGGCGAACGGGUGAGGAAUACAUGGGUAACCUACCCUCGAGUGGGGAAUAACUAGCCGAAAGGUUAGCUAAUACCGCGUACGCUCCUUGGACUUCGGUUCAGGGAGGAAAGCGAUACCGUGGGUAUCGCGCUCUUGGAUGGGCUCAUGUCCUAUCAGCUUGUUGGUGAGGUAACGGCUCACCAAGGCUUCGACGGGUAGCUGGUCUGAGAGGACGAUCAGCCACACUGGCACUGCGACACGGGCCAGACUCCUACGGAGGCAGCAGUAAGGAAUAUUGCGCAAUGGGCGAAAGCCUGACGCAGCGACGCCGC